GACGAACGCUGGCAGUGUACCUUAAGCAUGCAAGUCGAACGGUGAAAUCUUUAGCCGCAAGGCUAGAGAUGGAGCAGUGGCAGACGGGUGAGGAUAGACAGGAAUCUACCUUUUUGUGGGGAAUAGCUGGCCGAAAGGCCAAUUAAUACCGCAUAAGUCCGCAAGGAGAAAGGCCUUAACCGGCCGCAGAAAGAUGAGCCUGUUCGCUAUCAGCUAGUUGGUGAGGUAAUGGCUCACCAAGGCUAUGACGGCUAGGGGGCGUGAGAGCGUGGCCCCCCACAAUGUUACUUAGAUACGGAGCAUACAUCUACGGAUGGCAGCAACUGGGAAUUUUGCACAAUGGACGAAAGUCUGAUGCAGUGACACUGCGUGCGGGAUGACGGCCCUCGGGUUGUAAACCGCUGUGAUAGGGAAAGAAAACCGACGGUACCCUAUUAGAAAGCACCUGCUAACCACGUGCCAGAAGCCUCGGUAAUACGUGGGGUGCAAGCGUUGUCCGGAUUUAUUGGGCGUAAAGAGUGCGUAGGCGGUCUUUUAAGUAUCGGGUUAAAGCCUGGGGCUCAACUCCAGAGAUGCUCGAUAAACUAAUUGACUAGUGGGUGUUUGGGGUUGUUAGAAUUCUUGGUGGAGGAGUGAAAUCCGUUGAUAUCAAGAAGAAUACCAAAAGCGAAGGCAGGCAACUAAAACAUUCCAGACGCUGAGUCACGAAAGCUAGGGGAGCGAAAGGGAUUAGAGACCCCUGUAGUCCUAGCCGUAAACAAUGAACACUAGCUAUUUCCCGUAAGGGGAGUGGCGUAAGCUAACGCGUUAAGUGUUCCGCCUGGGGAGUACGGCCGCAAGGCUAAAACUCAAAGGAAUUGACGGGGAAUCGCACAAUCAGCGUGCCAUGUGGUUUAAUUGGAUACGAAACCUUGAACCUUACCUGGGUUUGAAAUGUACCUGCUAAUCUCUGGAAACAGAGACUCCUUCGAGGGUGGUACACAGCUGCUGCAUGGUUGUCGUCAGUUCGUGUCGUGAGGCGUCGGCUUAAGUGCCGUAACGAACGCAACCCCUGCCCUAUGUUAAAUAUCCAUAGCAGACUGCCUCGGUUUUUUCCGGGGAGGAAGGAGGGGAUGAUGUCAAAUCAGCAUGGCGCUUAUAUCCAGGGCUACACACAUGGCGUAAUGGGUGGGACAACGGGAUGCCAAGCCGCGAGGCGGAGCUAAUCCUUAGAAACCCAUCCUCAGUUCGGAUUGCAGGCUGCAAUUCGCCUGCAUGAAGGGGAGUUGAUAGUAAUCGCAGAUCAGCAACACUGCGGUGAAUACGUUCUCGAUUCUUGUACACACUGCCCGUCAAGUCAACAAAGUUAGUAGUGCCCGAAGUUGGUACCCAUAACCGCAAGGAAUGGGCCACCUAAGGUAAGACUAGCGAUGGGGGC
RNAcentral lists this ribosomal RNA (1417 nucleotides) under uncultured bacterium. RNAcentral describes it as "16S ribosomal RNA". It matches the Rfam family "Bacterial small subunit ribosomal RNA". The record is from RNAcentral.